Molecule: long non-coding RNA, 1144 nt
Organism: Cavia porcellus (domestic guinea pig)
Lineage: Eukaryota; Metazoa; Chordata; Mammalia; Rodentia; Caviidae
Exons: 2
Source: RefSeq, a predicted model, not a curated record
GACCCAGGCCAAGGUGGGGGCGCUCCAGGCGCCCCUCGGCCCUGGCUCCGAGCGGCUGCGCCCCGGGCUGCGCGCCCCAGCCCAGCCCCCGCGCAUUCCUGAGGCGACAGUGCGACCCAGCGGGCCGCGGGGAAACUGCGCAGGACCGCGGCCAGGGCAGCAGAGACGGGGUCCGAGGUGGGACCGCGGCGCCUUCCUCCUCCGGUGGCAAAGAUGUGCUGGAAAGCUCUGGUUGAGGACCCUGGAGCUUCUAAUGCAGACGUUAGACGUGGUAUUUAUGAAGUCCAAGCAAGCAACUGUCUCCCUCCUACCCCAGUUUACUUAACUGUUUUUAUCUCAAGAUUGACCCUCCUGAUCUAGUAAACUCUGUAGAUACUGAGAUUCCAAGCAGGCUCAGCCACCUUCUCCCUGACAUCGUCCUCUGCCUCAGUGGGCGCGCCCCUCAGCCUGCUGCCAUGGCCGUUGUGCCUGCCUCAGCUCUCACCAUCUAUGCCAUGAACUGGUUCCCUCCUAGAGACACCUUCCUCCUCUAGGUUAGCCGGGAAAACCCCUGCAUGAGCAGCCACACUUCCUCACUGACCGCCUGUCACUGAAGUGCUGAUUGAAAACCAGACUGCCCUGUGUAAUGCUGACUUGACCCAGCAGGCCAGUAUUUUUCAAUGUCCACUGCACCUAUGUUCAGAGCCUACUGACGCCAUACAACUUGAACAUCCGGUAACCCUGAAUGUACAGUGACCCCACAUUCUGAAGGGGAAAAAAAACUCUCCAAAAUAACAAAGUCAGAAUUUUGGGAACUUGAUGCCAACUUGAAAAGUAAAUGUUUAGAAUACAGAAAAGAGUCAUCGUCAGCAUAUGGGACUGGAUCCAUUCGUUUGGUCACAUAUAAAUAUUCAAAUAUGUGGGACAAUGCAUUUUUGCAUUUCCCUAUUAUUUUUAUUGUGUUUGCAGUGCAUGAUCACUGUAUUCACCGUGGGGGACUGGUUCAUGUGCAUAACACAUCCCAAUUUCCUUUCAUCCGAUUCACUUCCCCUCCUUCCCUUCCCCUCCAUCUCUUGGUUCCCUUGCCCUUUGCAAAAAUACUAUCUCCUUGUAUCCUAUUAUCUGCCUAAUAGAUUAAUUUUGAAAUAUAUGUUUUAUUCUCACA